This is a long non-coding RNA of Mus musculus (house mouse), 1733 nucleotides long. RefSeq annotates it as predicted gene, 46989. The record is from RefSeq and is a predicted model, not a curated record. Lineage: Eukaryota; Metazoa; Chordata; Mammalia; Rodentia; Muridae. The transcript is spliced from 3 exons.
GAACAACGCUGAACCGGGUUCCAUUGCCGCUGCAUGUUUAUUGCCGUUUUAUUGGCACACGCUCUUCUGUGGUUUCUGCCUCACUUCAGCCUGGUCCCAGCCCAGAGAUGGUGGUGGAGGCCCGUGUUAAUGAGGGCAAUUUGUUUUGGCUGGGGAUCUUAGAGUCUUGUGUUUCUUUUGUCUCAAUGCCUGCUGCUCUGGUUCUGGGCCUCGUGCACACAUGGACGCCUGGCUCUGCACCCUACAGUCUCAGUGCAUCUGACCCCACCCAGGGGCAAGGCUGCCCAAAGGGACUUAGUCAGAGUGGCUGAGAGGGUGGCUCUAGCUAUCAGAGGUGGCAUUCCAAGUCACGUCAGGGAGGACCCUGGGGAGGGCCAACCUGCUGUAGAUUUUUCUCCCUCUGGAUCAUUGGACCAGGCAGCCACAAGCUGAAGUCAAGUGCAUGGCCGUAUACACAGACACUGGGAAGAAGCCACUGCAAAGACCAUGUGGGACCUCUCCCUUUGGACCUGGCACAAUGCAUGAGACAGACUGCUUUGACUGAUGUCAAGAACCCGGCAACACCUGGCCCAGACCCUGACCGUUGGAACUCACGACAGACCCUGCACUGGUAGAGGGACAGUCAUGCCUGCCCCGGGCGGAACAAGCUGAAGAGACUUCUACCCAUGAGAAGGUGUGCGGGGGAGCUCCUGAGGUCGGAGCUCCUUGCCUUUCUGAGAUGGUGAAAGCAGGUACGUUCCAGGGCGUGGAGUCUGUGGCUUUCUUGGUCUUGGGGCUGUGACAGCUGAAAAGCUAAGAGGGCCUAAGGCUUGAGCAUGGACCAAGAGGAAGGUGGGGUUGCUGGAAAUGCGCACUCAAGAUGCCUCACCGGCAAGGACAGACUACACUCAUGGGCCUCUUCUGGCAAGGCUGGCCCACAUGCAAAUGGAUGAUGGGAUCUGAAGGAGGCUCGAAUCAGCAAGGCCUUUGAAACUUGACGUAGGAGGUCAGGAGCAGGACAGGGGCAGGGGUAAUAUUCACAGUCCUUCCUUAGAACUUUGGAGAAAAGAGCAAGGUUGGAAAGGUCACAGACUACUGCAGAGAGGCCAGACCCAGACUUCCCAGAACUCCAGGUAGACACUACAGGCACUAUUAAGUAGGCUUUAAGGAAACAUUUGAGGGACAGGAAGAAAAAUGCAGCCAGAUAUCUGACGGGCUUGGUGCAUAAAUCAUCCCCAGGGAAGGGAACUGUCUGUCUGAAGCUGGGAUGAAUAGAGGAAUUCUUGAUAGAACAGAUUUUACAUAGGAAGAAAAAACUAAUAAUACAUGGAAGUAUCUAUAGAGAUUAAUUUAAGAGAUCCAAGGGCAGACAAGGAGAAUGUAAAUUUGCCAAAUGUUAAAUAAGAAGAAUCCAUUUCCCCUUAGUUUAGGCGUGUGUGUGUGUGUGUGUGUGUGUGUGUGUGUGUGUGUGUGUGUGUAUGUGCAUGAGUGUAUGGGCACCAAGUGUGUAGAUGGCCUUGGAUGCAUUGGACCCUUGAGGCAGACAGUUGUGAGCUACUUGACGUAGGUGUUGGGAACAGGGCUCCUAACAGCUGAUCCAUCUCUCCAGCCCCACUUUUCUUUCUUUUGUUGGGUAUUGUUUUUUAUCCAGUUUGAUUAGUUUGUUAAUUAUUCUUAAACUAAAUUUAUUCUUUUACUGAUAAAGACAAAUGCAUCUUAACUUAUUGGCAUUUCCUUAUUGACAAGUAAAAAAU